UAGCAGUGAUGUUUAAAUAUUUUUCGUCAACAGCAUUUCACCACGUGAAUGUUGACACCUGAUUUUCUGAGCUA
This is a small nucleolar RNA of Protopterus annectens (West African lungfish), 74 nucleotides long. RefSeq annotates it as small nucleolar RNA SNORD56. Lineage: Eukaryota; Metazoa; Chordata; Ceratodontiformes; Protopteridae. The transcript has a single exon. The record is from RefSeq and is a predicted model, not a curated record.